Molecule: ribosomal RNA, 406 nt
Filed under: uncultured bacterium
Lineage: Bacteria
Description: partial 16S ribosomal RNA
Rfam family: Bacterial small subunit ribosomal RNA
Source: RNAcentral
AUUGAACGCUGGCGGCAGGCCUAACACAUGCAAGUCGAGCGAGCGGCGGACGGGUGAGUAAUGUGUGGGGAACUGCGUGAUGGAGGGGGAGAACUCCUGGAGACGGUAGCUAAUACCGCAUACCAUCUGAGGUGCCCACAUGGGAUUAGCUGGUUGGUGGGGUAACGGCUCACCUAGGCGACGAUCCCUAGCUGGUCUGAGAGGAUGACCAGCCACACUGGAACUGAGACACGGUCCAGACUCCUACGGGAGGCAGCAGUGGGGAAUAUUGCACAAUGGGCGCAAGCCUGAUGCAGCCAUGCCGCGUGUGUGAAGAAGGCCUUCGGGUUGUAAAGCACUUUCAGCGGGGAGGCGUUACCCGCAGAAGAAGCACCGGCUAACUCCGUGCCAGCAGCCGCGGUAAUAC